This is a non-coding RNA of Mycena rebaudengoi, 96 nucleotides long. The record is from the annotation of a GenBank genome assembly. Lineage: Eukaryota; Fungi; Basidiomycota; Agaricomycetes; Agaricales; Mycenaceae.
GCACCGGUGGUGCCUGAUGCACGCCGCCCUUCAUGAUCAUUUCAAACCGUUUCAGGCAGAACCUGGCAGAUCGGGGUUCGAUUCCCCGCCGGUGCA